RNAcentral lists this ribosomal RNA (496 nucleotides) under uncultured bacterium. RNAcentral's name for it is "partial 16S ribosomal RNA". It matches the Rfam family "Bacterial small subunit ribosomal RNA", at positions 28 to 506 of the family's 1533-position model. The record is from RNAcentral.
GAUGAACGCUGGCGGCGUGCCUAAUACAUGCAAGUCGAGCGAACAGACGAGGAGCUUGCUCCUCUGACGUUAGCGGCGGACGGGUGAGUAACACGUGGAUAACCUACCUAUAAGACUGGGAUAACUUCGGGAAACCGGAGCUAAUACCGGAUAAUAUAUUGAACCGCAUGGUUCAAUAGUGAAAGACGGUUUUGCUGUCACUUAUAGAUGGAUCCGCGCCGCAUUAGCUAGUUGGUAAGGUAACGGCUUACCAAGGCAACGAUGCGUAGCCGACCUGAGAGGGUGAUCGGCCAAACGGGAACGGAGAAACGGUCCAGACUCCUACGGGAGGCAGCAGAAGGGAAGCUUCCGCAAUGGGCGAAAGCCUGACGGAGAAACGCGGCGGGAGUGAUGAAGGUCUUCGGAUCGUAAAACUCUGUUAUUAGGGAAGAACAAAUGUGUAAGUAACUAUGCACGUCUUGACGGUACCUAAUCAGAAAGCCACGGCUAACUACGU